Molecule: transfer RNA, 73 nt
Filed under: Ixodes scapularis (black-legged tick)
Lineage: Eukaryota; Metazoa; Arthropoda; Arachnida; Ixodida; Ixodidae
Rfam family: tRNA
About the family: Transfer RNA (tRNA) molecules are approximately 80 nucleotides in length. Their secondary structure includes four short double-helical elements and three loops (D, anti-codon, and T loops).
Source: Rfam by way of RNAcentral
UUCUGGUUAGCUCAUUUGGUAGAGCGCUCCAUUGAAAAUGGAGAAGCCCCAGGUUGGAUACCAGGACCAGGCG